GGCAGCAGCUAAGAAUAUUCCGCAAUGCACGAAAGUGUGACGGAGCGACGCCGCGUGGACGAUGAAGGCCGGAAGGUUGUAAAGUCCUUUUUAAUAUGAGGAAUAAGUAAGGUGAGAGAAACGCCUUAUGGUGACUGUAGUAUUAGAAUAAGGGGCGGCUAAUUACGUGCCAGCAGCCGCGGUAACACGUAAGCCCCGAGCGUUGUUCGGAAUUAUUGGGCGUAAAGGGCAUGUAGGCGGUUUUGCAAGUCUGGUGUGAAAGGCAGGAGCUCAACUCCUGGACUGCGCUGGAAACUGCAUGACUUGAGUUUCUGAGGGGCACUCGGAAUUCCUGGUGUAGGGGUGAAAUCUGUAGAUAUCAGGAAGAACACCGGUGGCGAAGGCGGGGUGCCAGCAGAAGACUGACGCUGAGGUGCGAAGGUGCGGGGAGCAAGCAGGAUUAGAUACCCUGGUAGUCCGCACAGUCAACGAUGCACACUGGGUGUCCGCACAUAAGUGUGGGUGCCGAAGCAAACGCGAUAAGUGUGCCGCCUGGGGAGUAUGCCCGCAAGGGUGAAACUCAAGGAAUUGACGG
This 574-nucleotide ribosomal RNA is filed under the name uncultured rumen bacterium. RNAcentral's name for it is "bacterial SSU rRNA". It matches the Rfam family "Bacterial small subunit ribosomal RNA", at positions 347 to 916 of the family's 1533-position model. The record is from RNAcentral.